Molecule: ribosomal RNA, 439 nt
Filed under: uncultured bacterium
Lineage: Bacteria
Description: partial 16S ribosomal RNA
Rfam family: Bacterial small subunit ribosomal RNA
Source: RNAcentral
CUACGGGUCGCUCCAGUGGGGAAUAUUGCACAAUGGGGGAAACUCUGAUGCAGCAACGCCGCGUGGAGGAUGACACAUUUCGGUGCGUAAACUCCUUUUAUAGGUCAAGAUAAUGACGGUAGCCUAUGAAUAAGCGCCGGCUAACUCCGUGCCAGCAGCCGCGGUAAUACGGAGGGUGCAAGCGUUACUCGGAAUCACUGGGCGUAAAGAGCAUGUAGGCGGGUUAGUAAGUCAGAAGUGAAAUCCAAUAGCUCAACUAUUGAACUGCUUUUGAAACUGUUAACCUAGAGUGUGGGAGAGGUAGAUGGAAUUUCUGGUGUAGGGGUAAAAUCCGUAGAGAUCAGAAGGAAUACCGAUUGCGAAGGCGAUCUACUGGAACAUUACUGACGCUGAGAUGCGAAAGCGUGGGGAGCAAACAGGAUUAGAUACCCUUGUAGUC